GCCAGGCAUGGUGGCGGGCACCUGUAGUCCCAGCUACUGGGGAGGCUGAGGCAGGAGAAUAGAGUGAACCCGGGAGGUGAAGCUUGCAGUGAGUCGAGAUCGCACCACUGCACUCCAGCCUGGGCCACAGAACGAGACUGUCUACAAAAAAANNNNNNNNNNUCGUUCUGUGGCCCAGGCUGGAGUGCAGUGGUGCGAUCUCGACUCACUGCAAGCUUCACCUCCCGGGUUCACUCUAUUCUCCUGCCUCAG
This 252-nucleotide signal recognition particle RNA is filed under the name Chlorocebus sabaeus (green monkey). Its description in RNAcentral is "Metazoan signal recognition particle RNA". It matches the Rfam family "Metazoan signal recognition particle RNA". Rfam says of the family: The signal recognition particle (SRP) is a universally conserved ribonucleoprotein. It is involved in the co-translational targeting of proteins to membranes. The record is from Rfam by way of RNAcentral. Lineage: Eukaryota; Metazoa; Chordata; Mammalia; Primates; Cercopithecidae.